RNAcentral lists this ribosomal RNA (429 nucleotides) under Actinomycetes bacterium. Its description in RNAcentral is "Actinobacteria bacterium partial 16S ribosomal RNA". It matches the Rfam family "Bacterial small subunit ribosomal RNA", at positions 355 to 776 of the family's 1533-position model. Lineage: Bacteria; Bacillati; Actinomycetota; Actinomycetes. The record is from RNAcentral.
UAGGGAAUCUUCCGCAAUGGGCGAAAGCCUGACGGAGCAACGCCGCGUGAGUGAUGAAGGUCUUCGGAUCGUAAAACUCUGUUAUUAGGGAAGAACAACUGUGUAAGUAACUAUGCACGUCUUGACGGUACCUAAUCAGAAAGCCACGGCUAACUACGUGCCAGCAGCCGCGGUAAUACGUAGGUGGCAAGCGUUAUCCGGAAUUAUUGGGCGUAAAGCGCGCGUAGGCGGUUUUUUAAGUCUGAUGUGAAAGCCCACGGCUCAACCGUGGAAGGUAAUUGGAAACUGGAAAACUUGAGUGCAGAAGAGGGAAGUGGAAUUCCAGGUGUAGCGGUGAAAUGCGCAGAGAUAUGGAGGAACACCAGUGGCGAAGGCGACUUUCUGGUCUGUAACUGACGCUGAGGUGCGAAAGCGUGGGGAUCAAACAGG